AUGCAGGCCUAAAAGUAGCCUGAGGCUUGCUGUUGGGUGGGGCCACUCCCUAGGGCAGGCUGCCUGCCCUGGCUGAACUGGAUUAAAUCUGUGCUCUAGUGGGCGUGGCAGACCCCUGGGCUAACAGGCCAAGGGAAGAACCUCAAUGGCGCCCACCAGGGUCCCUGUCAGCACGCCUGGGCCAGCUCAGAACAACGGCCCCACCAAUGUCUCAGUCUCAGGAGAGGAUCCUCCUCUCACCAAGAUGCCCCCAGAGCCCACCAGGACGCCUGCCACAGCAUGGCUUUUGCCAAGUGGUGCCAUGUCCGCACCCGGGAUCAGAACUGGAGAACCCCAGGCCGCCGAAGCAGAGCGUGUGCACUUAACCGCUGGGCCACCAGGCCAGCCCCAAAUGGAGGAAUUUUGGACUGAGUGUUCAGAGGAAGAUUAGCCCUGAGCUGACAUCUGCAGCCAAUCCUCCUCUUUUUGCUGAGGAAAUUUGGCCCUGAGCUAACAUCCAUGCUCAUCUUCCUCUAUUUUGUAUGUGGGAUGCCUGCUACAGGAUUGCUUGGUCUCUCAAGAUUCAAAAUAAAGUUAACUAAAGCUACAUUUCCUUGGUUCAGCACCACCCACAGCAUUUUAGACAGGGUAGUCAAUUUAAAUUUCCUGGGGAUUCACUCACUGAACCCAUGUGCUGAUGAUCAGUCACUUGGACUAUAUGUCAGCAUAUGUCAUGUCCUCUUCUGCUCUCUCCAGGCAUUGCAUGUGGAGCCAUUGAGGCCUGGUUGCUAUGGAAAUUUCCUCCACCAUUCCAAAGGCAAAUGGGGUGCCAUAUCAACCAAUAAAGAGUCAUCAAAUUUAACUGGGACAAAUACGUUUCUUCCAAAAUUGUGAAUCAAAUUUACAAAGCUGCGUAGUGUUAGGCUUUCAGUUGAUUAUAGACACUUCAAUGAUGGUUUUACUUUACCUAUGUAGGUAUGCCUGUGGGAUAGCACCACGUCCUGGAAAUCCUGGCGGGAAUCUGAAAGAUCUAGUAUAAAGGUAAUGCAUAACAUGUGUCAGACUGCAAUGACAAGUGCCCUUCCUCUUUCAUAGUUAACUGAUCCUUGCAUCAAGUAUAUGCUCAACUUCCUCUUUCAUUCAAAAGAGAUUUGUAUCAGGAGAUUUCUAAGUGCCUCACACACGCAGGUCCUUAGUUGACCCACUAUGAGAAUUCUCUAGGUGUGUUUGCAUGUAUUUAAUUUACAAGACAUGCAAAUCUGAGUCUGUGUCUCUGGAACCCCCACUGCACUCUUAAUUUGGUAAUGAGACUGCUGAUUCUGUAUGCUAAUUUACACUCUGUUUUAUCUCAUCCUACUCAAAAUACAAAGACCUUAUUUAAACUAAUUACUUAAAUGAUGUAUUUAUUUUGGAAUGUGUAGAGUUGUGAAAUUUCAGUAGAAAUAAAUCUUUAUUGAAAAUAACCUUGUAAGAGUUUGAAAGGAAUUUGUUUUCCUUUGAAUGUUUAAUUCCCAUUAA
This 1497-nucleotide long non-coding RNA is filed under the name Equus caballus (horse). Its description in RNAcentral is "lncRNA (ENSECAG00000057773.1)". The record is from RNAcentral. Lineage: Eukaryota; Metazoa; Chordata; Mammalia; Perissodactyla; Equidae.